GGGCGCUGUAUCAACGACAGUGCACCAGCAGAAGAAGACGAAAUCUCCAGAAUUAUUUUCCGUGUUUUUCCGCUAUUUGUUGUAUUAAAAAUCGGCGUCCUGGUUUUCCCUGGCUGUUCAAACAGAUCUUCUCAAAAACACAGAGCCAGUGGGUUUGACAAACGGUGGCUGAACCAAUUUACCUGCUCAGGCAAACUGAGGAAGGUGAAGACACUUCUGCACAGCAGACUGAAGGAGAGGCACUGGGAUGAUGUUGUAAGGAGGCCAUGAUGGACCAGGACCAGGACCAUCGAUGGAUCAGACCAGACCAGGACCAGGACCAGGACCAGGACCAGACCAGGAGGCAUUGGACUACCAGGAGCAUGAGGAGGAAAUGGAAAAAUAGGAGGCUGAAAUGUUCUCUGUCUGGUUGUGAGAUUUGUCAGUAAAGAAACCCUACAAAAAGUCAAAAUCUUACCAAGACUACUUGUCUUAUAUCCAGUCGAAAUGUUUUAUUUCUAGUCCAAAAAAAAUCAUUACAUUUAAAAUAAGACAGUCACUUAAAAAGUAACUCGUUCUAGAAAACCAUUUUCACUCAUUUCAGUGAAGAUCUUCUCUUGUUCCA
Cololabis saira (Pacific saury) is the source of this 604-nucleotide long non-coding RNA. RefSeq lists it as uncharacterized. The record is from RefSeq and is a predicted model, not a curated record. The transcript is spliced from 3 exons. NCBI's taxonomy places the organism in Eukaryota, Metazoa, Chordata, Actinopteri, Beloniformes, Belonidae.